AGUGAACGCUGGCGGCAGGCCUAACACAUGCAAGUCGAGCGGCAGCGCGUCCGACCACCCUCGGGUGGUCGGAUGGCGGCGAGCGGCGGACGGGUGAGGAAUGCAUCGGAAUCUGCCUCGUUGUGGGGGAUAACGUAGGGAAACUUACGCUAAUACCGCAUACGACCUACGGGUGAAAGUGGGGGACCUUCGGGCCUCACGCGAUGAGAUGAGCCGAUGCCGGAUUAGCUAGUUGGCGGGGUAAAGGCCCACCAAGGCGACGAUCCGUAGCUGGUCUGAGAGGAUGAUCAGCCACACUGGAACUGAGACACGGUCCAGACUCCUACGGGAGGCAGCAGUGGGGAAUAUUGGACAAUGGGGGCGAACCCUGAUCCAGCCAUGCCGCGUGUGUGAAGAA
Molecule: ribosomal RNA, 397 nt
Filed under: uncultured bacterium
Lineage: Bacteria
Description: bacterial SSU rRNA
Rfam family: Bacterial small subunit ribosomal RNA
Source: RNAcentral